This 429-nucleotide ribosomal RNA is filed under the name Daphnia dentifera. RNAcentral describes it as "partial 12S rRNA". Lineage: Eukaryota; Metazoa; Arthropoda; Branchiopoda; Diplostraca; Daphniidae. The record is from RNAcentral.
UUAAAUUUUUGAAGUUAUCUUAGCUUUUUUGUUGGGUGAAAUCAGUAUAAAGAGUUUCUCUUUCUUUUAAAAUUAAUAGGAAUUAAAAAACUUUGAUUAAAAACCAGGAUUAGAUACCCUGUUAUUCUAAGUUAUAUUUAGACAGGGUAGUAAAAGCUGUUCUUCAAACCCAAAGAUUUUGGCGGCACUUUAUCCAAAUAGAGGAGCUUGCCCCUUAAUCGAUAGCCCCCGUUUUAUCUUUCCUCUGUUUGUAGAGCUUGUAUACCGCCGUUGUCAGAUCACUUUUAGAGAAUGUUUUCAAGUUAAAAGACUUUUCUACUUCAGGUCAAGGUGCAGUUUAUAUAGAGGUGGAGGUGAGCUACAAUUUUCUUUAGAAAUACGGAUCUCAAGCCUCGAAGCUGGUUGAAGGUGGAUUUAUUAGUAAAGUAA